GAGUUUGAUCCUGGCUCAGGAUAAACGCUGGCGGCGUGCCUAACACAUGCAAGUCGAACGUCCUGCGCAAGCAGGGAGUGGCGGACGGGUGAGGAACACGUGGAGUACCUGCCUUUCAGUGAGGAAUACCGGCGAGAAAUCGCCGACAAAACCGCAUACGCUUCUCACGAAGCAAAACCGCAAGGUGCUGGAAGAUAGCUCUGCGCCCGAUUAGCCAGUUGGUGGGGUAACGGCCUACCAAGGCGACGAUCGGUAGCUGGUCUGAGAGGACGAUCAGCCACACUGGGAUUGAGAACGGCCCAGACUCCUACGGGGGGCAGCAGUGAGGAAUUUUCGUCAAUGGGGGCAACCCUGAACGAGCAACGCCGCGUGCAGGAUGACACUUUUCGGAGCGUAAACUGCUUUUCUUGGGGACGAGAACGGACGGUACCCAAGGAAGAAGCCUCGGCUAACUACGUGCCAGCAGCCGCGGUAAUACGUAGGAGGCAAGCGUUGUCCGGAGUUACUGGGCGUAAAGCGCCCGCAGGCGGUCCAUCGCGUUUCUCGUGACAGCCCCCAGCUUAACUGGGGAUCCACGAGGAAAACGGGUGGACUUGAGGCCAUCAGAGGGAGACGGAAUUCCGGGUGGAGUGGUGAAAUACGUAGAUAUCCGGAGGAACACCAAUGGCGAAGGCAGUCUCCUGGGAUGGUCCUGACGCUGAGGGGCGAAAGCCAGGGGAGCGAACGGGAUUAGAUACCCCGGUAGUCCUGGCCGUAAACGAUGACCACUAGGCGUGGGAGGUAUCGACCCCUUCCGUGCCGCAGCUUACGCACUAAGUGGUCCGCCUGGGGAGUACGGUCGCAAGAUUAAAACUCAAAGGAAUUGACGGGGACCCGCACAAGCAGCGGAGCGUGUGGUUUAAUUCGAUGCAACGCGAAGCACCUUACCAGGGUUUGACAUGCACGCGCACCAUCCGUAACGGGAUGUGCCCGCAAGGGACGUGUGCACAGGUGCUGCAUGGCUGUCGUCAGCUCGUGUCGUGAGAUGUUGGGUUCAGUCCCGCAACGAGCGCAACCCCUAUGCCUAGUUGAAUGCUCUAGGCAGACUGCCGCGAUCAACGCGGAGGAAGGCGGGGAUGACGUCAAGUCAGCACGGCCCUUACACCCUGGGCGACACACACGCUACAAUGGUCGGGACAAUGAGUUGCCAACCCGCGAGGGGGAGCUAAUCUCCGCAAACCCGAUCUCAGUUCAGAUUGGAGGCUGCAACCCGCCUCCAUGAAGUUGGAGUUGCUAGUAACCGUGGGUCAGCACACCACGGUGAAUACGUUCCCGGGUCUUGUACACACCGCCCGUCACACCACGAAAGUCGGCAACACCUGAAGCCGCCAGGCUAACCCUUCGGGGAGGCACGCGUCGAGGGUGGGGUCGGUGAUUGGGGUGAAGUCGUAACAAGGUAGC
Molecule: ribosomal RNA, 1440 nt
Filed under: uncultured Ktedonobacter sp.
Lineage: Bacteria; Bacillati; Chloroflexota; Ktedonobacteria; Ktedonobacterales; Ktedonobacteraceae
Description: bacterial SSU rRNA
Rfam family: Bacterial small subunit ribosomal RNA
Source: RNAcentral